GGGGCCGUGGCCAAACGGUAAGGCAUCUGCUUUGCAAGCAGACGAGUAGGGGUUCGAGUCCCCUCGGCUCCA
Molecule: transfer RNA, 72 nt
Filed under: Microbacterium sp.
Lineage: Bacteria; Bacillati; Actinomycetota; Actinomycetes; Micrococcales; Microbacteriaceae
Description: tRNA-Ala
Rfam family: tRNA
About the family: Transfer RNA (tRNA) molecules are approximately 80 nucleotides in length. Their secondary structure includes four short double-helical elements and three loops (D, anti-codon, and T loops).
Source: RNAcentral